GUGCUUGCUUCCUGAGCACAUAUACUACAAUUGCAACAGUACAGAGAAGAUUAGCAUUGCCCCUGCACAAGGAUGACACACAAAUACAAUAGCAUGAAAAGAAUAAA
Molecule: small nuclear RNA, 107 nt
Organism: Ailuropoda melanoleuca (giant panda)
Lineage: Eukaryota; Metazoa; Chordata; Mammalia; Carnivora; Ursidae
Source: Ensembl